CUUCGAUCACCACCAGCCUGUCGAGUUCUCCGUCCGUUUAUCCCAUCUCUUCCGGUUCAGUGCGCCCCCCCCCCCCGGUUCUCAAGCGCGUCGCUGUUCCCGUUCUUCCUCGUCGGGAGAUCGCGGUCCUGCUGCCUCCACACCGUCCGCAGUCUUUGGCUUUCGAGAAACAAUGGGCAGGACCAACAGCUGCACCAUUUAUGUUGGCAAUCUCCCUGGAGACAUCCGUGAGAGGGAGGUUGAAGAUCUCUUCUACAAGUAUGGCCGUAUUGUGGAUAUUGACUUGAAGAUUCCUCCACGACCUCCUGGCUAUGCUUUCGUUGAGUUUGAGGAUCCCCGUGAUGCAGAUGACGCAAUUUAUGGCCGUGAUGGGUAUAACUUUGAUGGCUACAGGUUGCGGGUGGAAUUAGCUCAUGGUGGAAGAGGCCAAUCUUACCAGUAUGAACGCCCAAGAAGCUAUAGCAGUGGACGCCGUGGAGGUGUUUCUAGGCGCUCUGAGUACCGUGUUUUGGUUGAUGGGUUACCUUCGUCAGCGUCAUGGCAAGAUCUCAAGGACCAUAUGCGACGGGCUGGCGAUGUCUGUUUCUCUGAUGUAUACCGUGAGGCUGGAGCAAUUGUUGGAAUUGUGGAUUAUACAAACUACGAUGACAUGAAAUAUGCGAUUAGGAAGCUUGAUGGUACAGAGUUCAGAAAUGCAUUUUCACGGUCAUAUAUCAGGGUGAGGGAGUAUGAUGCUAGAUCAAGAAGCAGAAGCCGUAGCCUUUCUUACUCGAGAAGUCGCAGCUGCAGCAGGAGCGAGAGUCCACGAUCUGUCUCUCGAUCACCGUUACCUGUGGAUGAAAGAUCUGGCCAUGCGGCGAUCUGGGGACUGCUUUCAUAGAAUAUUGGAUGUAUUGAGUUCGGAGAGGAUGGUUGGAACUUUGGAUAGUAGAGCUGGAUUAUCAGCAUGUAUGGCAAGUGGGCAACAAGUCCUAGGAGCAAGAUAGUCCUGACAGUAAGGAUAUGUGCAGUGGGUCUUGUGGUAUUAUUUAAUGGUGUUAAUUGUAGGCUUAAAUUUCAAAUAUUCGAUAAACAUGGGCUUCAUUUUCAUUGGGCUCUAAACCUUCUUUUAAUUAAUCUUGCUAUUCUGCUAAAAAUAUAGAUCAACGAUGUUAGGUAAUCAUAAUUUACUUUGGGCAAGUUAAGUGUACAUACUGAGAAGUUGGUAUUAACAAAUGAAGGAGUACACCCUGUUUAGUUCUGCUGUUCAGUUUCAGUUCUAAUAGUCACAGCUAUAGGUUCAAUCAGAUAUGUCAAAAAAAAUUAUACCAGUAAGCAUGGAGCGCAAAAUCCAUACUAAGCACUAGGAUUCCUCUGUCCUAUACUCUUCACGUACUGUUACAUCCAUAGCCGAUGGGUAUAUCUAUGGCUGUUGGUUCGAUUUCAGUGUUAAUUUUGGAUGACACCACACUUUGAGUAAUGAACAUUACUUCUGAAACCUUUUGCAGAUCGCUGUCAAGAUCCCGAUCCCCCGAUUCUUCUGCCUCUCCUAGAAAAUCUGUGAGCAGAAGCCCUAGCAGGAGCAGGAGCUUAUCCCGGUCUGCAUCUCCUGUGAGAUCUGAAUGAUCCUGUGCGCAUCUGGAAGUAGUGGGCGACUACUCUAGGAUCCAGGGACGUAGAGGAAUUAGGAUUACGAGUUUAUACCUCGCCUCUGGGGUUUCAGCUGCUGCGCUCAGAUCGCUGCUUUCUGUUUUAUCUGCACAACAUUAUAUUGAUUUGCGGAACAGAGUCAUUGCCUAGCAUGCUUGUCUAUGUUGAACUUGUUAUGUGUCCUGUACUCGGAGAUCAACAAGUGUUCUGUACUCAGAGAUCUGUACUCUAUGGUUAGUUUAUGCACUGUUGGCGUUAGUUUUAUGCACUGUCGGCGUUAGUUUUAUGCACUGUCGGCAUAGUAACAUUUGGGCUUUCGGGAUGAACCCUGCUCUGUUUGUUAGUAACUUACUUAGUGACCCUUGUUGUUUUUGGUAUUGAUAAACUGUAAUGGAAUCUCAAGAUGGCAA
Molecule: RNA transcript, 2039 nt
Organism: Brachypodium distachyon (stiff brome)
Lineage: Eukaryota; Viridiplantae; Streptophyta; Magnoliopsida; Poales; Poaceae
Gene name: serine/arginine-rich splicing factor SR30
Exons: 14
Source: RefSeq, a predicted model, not a curated record